RNAcentral lists this ribosomal RNA (245 nucleotides) under uncultured bacterium. RNAcentral describes it as "partial 16S ribosomal RNA". It matches the Rfam family "Bacterial small subunit ribosomal RNA", at positions 113 to 353 of the family's 1533-position model. The record is from RNAcentral.
ACACGUGGGUAACCUGCCUUAUAGUGGGGGAGUAGCCUUUCGAAAGGAAGGUUAAUACCGCAUAAGAUUGUAGUAUCGCAUGAUAUAGCAAUUAAAGGAGCAAUUCGCUAUAAGAUGGACCCGCGUCGCAUUAGCUAGUUGGUGAGGUAAUGGCUCACCAAGGCGACGAUGCGUAGCCGACCUGAGAGGGUGAUCGGCCACAUUGGGACUGAGACACGGCCCAGACUCCUACGGGAGGCAGCAUG